This 6872-nucleotide long non-coding RNA is filed under the name Sus scrofa (pig). Its description in RNAcentral is "lncRNA (ENSSSCG00000062902.1)". Lineage: Eukaryota; Metazoa; Chordata; Mammalia; Artiodactyla; Suidae. The record is from RNAcentral.
UCAAUGCCUAAUACUUAAUAGGUACUCAGUGAACAUUAUCCUACUUAAAAAUGAGUUUCAGAAGGCACUCUGUGAAGGAUAAAGAAAACAGAAGAAACUGAAGAGUUAAAAACUAACAUAAGAGAACCACAUAUCAUGAAAGAGAGUUAAAUAGUAUCACAUAUAAAAUAAUCAGCAUCUGCACAGGAGUUAUUAGAAGUUUUAUAAAAUCGUAAAAUACGCAUGUUUCAAAUUUGUAAAACAGUUAAUGAAGUAAUAGAAAACACAAUGGGGAUGCUGUUUAACAAGAUCUAAGGAAAAAACACUUAGAAACAAAACAGCAGAGUUAGGUAAAUUAAGCACUAAUGGAUAAGUUAAAGAGCAAGUUAAACACUGGAAAAGAGAGAAAUCAGAACCUCAUCUUCAGGUACGAUGGACUUGUAAAUUUACAUAUGAUUUGCUACUGUGAAUAAUUAGGACAAAACAACACAUAUAUAUUUUUAAAAUAUAUUUCAUAUUGCAUAGGCAAAGUAAGGGAGAUAUCUGAAUUGAAAAACCUUCACCUUCAAUUUUGAGGAUGUUUUCUCCCAGGGGCUGUCUGAUGACUCUAGCUGAGAAUCAGCUGAGAGUAUGAAAAAGCUAGCAAGGUUUUAAUAACCGUUUGCUUUAGUGGGUUAAUAAAUGGAGUUAGAGUAGGCUAAGAAGCAGGAGGAGGCAGAUGGGUUCUGGUUAAAAUAAACAAAUAAACAAAAACAUUGGUUUCAGGUUGGCAGUCCAAGAAGGAAAAUGUGAAUUGGAAAUAGAUUUUUGCUAUUCCAGGAAUUUAAGUCUGUCUUUGAGUUAUUGCAAACACUGAAACUGGAUACAGAGGAUCUGGAAACAGUAACAUUUCCUAUCUUGGCCUUGGCCUUGCCCUUCAAAAAGCAAAAGUAUAUUGUCCCCGAAGAGAGUAGAUAUUACUUUAGCCAUUAAUGGAUAGAAGGAUGCAUAAAAAUCUCUAAAAUACAAUAAAAGUAAUUAAGAUUCAAGGAUACAAGAAAAUUUGCUACAAACUCCAAAUAAUUACUAUUAUAAAUAUUGAUUGUCCAAAUGCUCCAUUUAUGAGAACAAAUAUUUUCAGACAGGGAUAAAUUUCAAUAAUGUAUAGCUUAAAAGAACCCUAUCUUUAUAAAAGGAAUGCAAUAAACUUAAAAAGACAGGAGAAAAAAGAUUUACUGUGCUAAUAAAUAAUCAAGAAAAAUUAGUGUAGUUUAAUAACAUUUAAAGAGGUCAAAGUGUACAGUGUCCCUUCAAAGGGACAUGCACUGCCCAUACCAAUGCCUCACAGCUAUGUCAGUUGCCUUUUUUUUGGCCACAGAGGGCCUCUAAAAUUCACUUUGACAACAAUAUCACACUGUUUCACUCACUCUCCUGGUACUACUUUGAUUUCUAAGGAGGCACUUUGACCCCCUAAAAGUCUCAGUCAUCUCCGGUGUUUAAAUUAAGGUCAAGGUGUCAGAGAGUCAACUGUGGUAAAAGGCCUAAAACUAAAGGUCAGUAAUAUGUGAUAUCUUGACCUCUUGUGGGAUUAAAGGGGCUCAAAUGGCCUAACCCAAAUUUCUCCUCCCUAGUUUGCUGUCAUGGAUAAGACCUCUCGCCCAACAAUCUGCCUAAUAAAAAGAGGGCUAGGUGUAACUUUCUACUUGUUCCAGAGUAGUGGGUUUCAGAACUAAACCACAGAAUUACUCAAAUAAGCCAAUCAAACCCCAUCAUGGGAACAAGGGAAUACCCUCAUUCUCUUGAUACUACAAAAUCACGCCACUCACAGCCCAUUUUUUUCACUCAAUUCUUCAAGUGCAACCCUGUACGAUGCUGUAUGGAGCAGUGUCCUUCUCUCCCAGGCUAUGAGGAUGUGACUAAUAAACUAUAUCUCACCUGCCCAGUGUCAGGUGUCCUAUGUUUAUCUUCUUAAUUCUAGAAUUUGAACCCCUUCCUCACCAAUGGGGAGAGGAGGACUUGAUAAAAACAGAAAAGUUAGGAAGGGAGGAAAGGAGGAGAUAAAUUCAGAUCGUAAACAUCUAGAAAACAUUUAGAAUAUAAAAGAAAUGUGAGUUUUUUCCUCCCCAAUGUAUUAAUAACAUAAUUACCUGUAUUAAUAACAUGUAUUACCUGUAUUUGUUCUUAGGUCAUUGAACCUAGAGUAAAAACACUUUUUUUAAUUCUCAGAAAAUAAGUAUUGUUUCCUAAAUACUUGUUUGAUUGAUUGCUGUAUUGAUUUUUAAGAUCUAUUACUGUGUCAUUUCUAUAAAAUAUUUCCAUUCUUUUGAGGUUGUGGUAGAACUUUACAGAGAGUUUUUUUUAAAUGUUUAAAAUGUAGUAAAUACAUUCCAAGAAGAAAAUUUACUCAGCACCACUAGUUGUAAAAUAAAAACCAAAGCUCUUUCAUGAACACUAAUAGCAUCCUUAUGGUGUCUGUCAUCAGCAUUUUAAUGAGGAUGUCAACACAGUCCUACUAUUAAUGUUAGAGGAAAUUUUAGUAUAGAAAACUUUGGUACCAUUGUGGAACACUUUAAAAUUCUUAGAUAUUAAAAUCCACUAUUUAACCUAAUAAAUUAUAUUUAGAAUUUAUAUAUAAAUAAAAAUAGCAAUAAUCAUAUGUUAUAAUAGGACCUAGGCAAAUCCUUUCUAAAGAGAACUAGAACUAAAUGAAUCAUAAUUGAGGUGAAACCCUGGUCAGUGGGGUUCUUUAAUAGAUCAUCCCCUGCCUUGUCAAAAAUAUUAAAAUUAACAAAUAUCCUGUUUUACCUCUGCCUUUUUUUUUUUUCCUCCUUUUUCGGACAGCAUCUGUGGCAUAUGGAAGUUCCUAGUCUAGGGGUAAAAUCAGAGCUGCAGCUGCUGGCCUGCAUUUCUCUAAUAAUUAGCGAUGUCAAGAAUGUUUUCAUGUGCCUGUUGGCCAUCUGUUUAUCUUCUCUGGAGAUAUGUCUAUUCAGGUCUUUUGCCCAUUUUUCAAUUGGGUUGUUGGAUUUUUGCUGUCAAGUUGUAUAAUUUCUUUGUAUUUUUAGAGGUUAAUCCCUUUGUUAGUUGCAUCAUUUGAAACAAUUUUCUUCUAUUUUGUAGGUUAUAUACAUAUAUUUUUUAUGGUUUCCUUUGCUGUGCCAAAGCUUGUAAGUUUGAUUAGGUCCCAUUGGUUUAUUUUUGUUUUUAUUUCUUUUGAAUUAGGAAAUGGACCUAAGAAAAUAUUUGUAUGGUUGAUGUUUUGCCUGUGUUCUCUUCUAGGAGUUUUAUGGUGUCUUGUCUGAUGUUAAGUCUUUACACCAUUUUGAGUUUAUUUUUUGUGCAUGAUGUGAGGGUGUGUUCCAGUUUCAUUGAUUUUUUUAAAAUUUAUUUCUGAGUUCAUUAUUCUGUUCCAUUGGUCUGCAUGUCUGUUUUUGUACAAGUACCACACUGUCUUGAUUACUGUAGCUUUGGAUUAUUGUCUGAACACAGGGAGAGUUAUGCCUCCUGCUUGGUUUUUGUUCCUCAGGAUUGCUUUGGCAAUUCUGGGUCUUUUAUGUUUCCAUAUAAAUUUUUGGAUUAUUUGUUCUAGUUCUGUGAAAAUGUCAUGGACAAUUUGAUAGGGAUUGCAUUAAAUCAUUAGAUUACUUUGAGUAGUAUGGCCAUUUUAACAAUAUUAAUUCUUCCAAUUCAGGAGGAUGGAAUAUCUUUCCAUUUUUUGAAUCCUCUUUAAUUUCCUUAAUUAAUGUUUUAUAGUUUUCAGUUUAUAAGUCUUUCCCUUCCGUGAUCAGGUUUAUUGUUUUCUUUCUAUUGCUAUGGCUUUUUUAUACAUCAUUAUCACCUCUGAACUUGUAAAGCAUGGGAAUUUUGUUAUAAUAAAGACUGUAAUGAGGCAUAUUAUGCUUGUUCAUUUUUGUUCUCUUAUCUAAAUAUUGCCUUUGAGGUUUGAAUGGAGAUAUUAUAAUAGUAAUUGGAAGUUCAGCAGCACUAAAUGGUAAUAAUAUUUGAAUAAAGUUACUUUAGAAAAGCUUUGAGCACUAAGAGAUAAGUUCUGAAUAAUAUGGCAUAUCUUACAAAUAGGCCCUUUCUUUAAAAUAUAUUGCAAUCAUUCUUCAUCAGUAAGAAUUAACAUUUUAAGCAGGAAACAAUCAAACUAAUCUUAUAUUAUGGUAUAGUAUAAGAACUCUAUUGUAUUGCAAUACUUGUUUUACUUUACAAGAGAAAAAUAUAAUCAUUGGGCCAAUGAACAUAUCUACAGUUGCUUAGAUGCACUUACUACCUUAAUUUUAGGAAGAAGAAAUAUUUACUUGAUUUUAUCCAUCUAGACUAGGUGGGCAAAUUAUGAUUCUGGCCCAUCAUUUAUUUUUAUAAUGAGUAAAGAUAUAUGGAAGCACAGCUAUGCUCAUCCAUUGGCAUAUUCUCUAAGACUUCAUUUGCUUUAUAAGACAGAACUGAGUAGUCAUGACAGACACCACAUAGCCUGUUAAGCCAAACAUUUUACUACCUGACUGUAGAAAAAGUUUGCUAACACCUAAUCUAGGCCAUUAAAUUAGAUCCAAACAUCUUUGGAAAGUGGGAUUUGAAUACCUAUUAUACUUUUAUUUACAUACUUUGAUCUAAGAGUUGUGAAUCAUUGUCACUAUUCUCUAUAUCCCAUUGACAUUACAGUCAAAGGAAAACCUAGAGUGGUGUGGACUGGAAUGAAGAUAAAUGUUCCAUUUUGUUAAACCACAGUAUAAAUAAUGGAGUCCAAAAUAUAAUGGUCAAUUAUCUUCCACAAAUUUUAAUGAGAUAAUGUCAAAUAGGAAAAAUAAGGAUUAAUUGAACCUAAUCAUUGAUCUCACAUUGUAUAGAAUAGCAUCUCUUUACCUCAAAUUUUCAAAUCAAUUGUGUAUGAUAUUUAAGCAUAAACAAGAAGAAAAAAAAUCAAUGUUGAUGAAAAAGAGAGGUAUAUUAAAACAAGAUUGGAAGUUGCAGAAACACUGAGACUUUGACCUUGCAUUACUGCAGUGUACAUAAAGGGACUGAGAGGGCAAGGUCAGAGAAUCUUGUUGAUCCCUUGGUGUUUUCUUUGGUGAAAUCAAAUUUGAAACUCUUUAUGUCCUAAAAAGAUAUUGGAGGCACUUGCUGGCAUAUGUCUGACAUAUACAUAUAAGUGUAGCCCUCAGUUAUAAAACAUCAUUCAGAUUUACAUUCUUUUUAAUAUAAUCUUUGGUUAUAAGGGAAAGAAACCUUUUAAUUGUCAAAUUGCAUACAACCAAUUGCAUAUUGCCAUUCACUUUAGUUCACAAAGGAUAAUAGACAUGAUACCUAUGAUAAUCAAUUCCUAUUAUUUUAUUAUUAUAUUUAAUCUUACAGCCUUCAAGAUAAUGGGAUGCAUUGUUCCAGGAAGAGCAUAUGUUGUAAAAGAGUCAGAGUAUUUAAAUAACUAAUAAAUAGUUAAAAUGUAUUUUUAAAGAGAAGUUUGCUAACUUGUGGUUAUAUACAUUUUGGAAUUUUGGUAAAAAGAAUUUAAGACUCACUAUAUUAGCUGACCAGAAAAAUACACAGAAAUUUAGGCAUGAAAAUAGGAAAGCAUAACUUUUACAUACUUUCAAAAACAGGAAAGUGGUGGGAAAUAAAAUGGAGCCUAGCAGCAUUGUGCAGAGGAUUAAAAAUGCCUGAGAACAUAAAAGCAUGUUUUCAAAUCAUAAAUACAUUUUAUAUAACAAGUAGGAGAGCCCAAGGCCCUCUUAAUCACUGCAUCUGUUAUUUUUUCCUGCUAUUAUAGUGAUUAAAAAGCAGCAGUAAACUAUAUCUCUCCUAUCUGUAGGAAUGACUGCAUGGAAUAAAACAGCAGAACAACACAGCCUCAGGAGCUGGUGAAGUUCAUUUACUGGCAACACCCCUAGGGUGCAUCACUUGAGUGGAGGUAGUUUCUGCAUUAGUUUCUCCCCACCCUCUCACUCUUGUGCUGACAAAUAGGAUUUAAUGACCAGUGAAUGCAUAAUAGAAAUAACUAAUUUUUCAUAUACCCUAUGGAUAAGUACCUACUUUGAAAGCCUUCAACUACUUCUAAAAGAUAAAAUUACCCUAAAUUUAAAAAAACAAACAUGCCGAGCACAGAUAUUUUAACAAAUAUUCAGCAAGCUCUACAGACAAUUUCAAAGGAAAAUCUCAAAAAGAUAAUUCAGGUAAGAACAACAGAAUGGGUAAGAAUUGUAUAGUUCAUUUAAAAUGACUAUUCUUAAGAUCAACACACUGAGAAGUACAAUGCCUGUUAUGUUUGCUACAAAAUCAGUCUCAUUAACAAAUACAUACGAAUAUAUUUUCACACCUCAUAUACCUCUGAAUCCAAAUCAUAAGACUAUCUUCUUCAAUUAAUGAAAGGCAGAUUACAAAGGGAAAGAGGAGCACCUAGAGAAUUAUAUUAGAACAACAAAGCUAUUAGUAACACUCAGCACAGAAGCACUGGAGUGUUUUAAGUAAGAAGCACUGUUUAUUUUUCUAGGCCAUGUUCUAAAGACAAAAUGAAACCUUUAAGUACAUUUGCAUACAUUAAUACCAGAAGGAGUUUUAGAAAAGAUUAAAAACAAUAUCGACUCUAAUAUUUAAUUAUCUUCUUCUUUGGUUAUCUCUCCAAUGAUUUAAAAAAGCAGAAGUUAAUUGUACCAAGAAAACUACUUGUAAAGAAAAUAAAUAUUCUUUGUCCAAUGAGCUAUUUACUGAAAUGAGUUCAUCUGACCUUACCUAGCUCAGUUAAUUAUAUUGUUUGACAUUCCAACUCAAAGGUCCCACCAUACUUUAAAAAAAAAAAAAGUAUGCUGAAUAUAUUUCUAUCUGCUGAAGCUUACAUCAAGUUCACUUCUUUCUAGACUAGAUAUUAAGAUGAUCAACACUUUAUUUUUCCCUAGACUCCUAUUCACUGAUAUGCACAGUGC